This 253-nucleotide ribosomal RNA is filed under the name uncultured bacterium. RNAcentral's name for it is "partial 16S ribosomal RNA". It matches the Rfam family "Bacterial small subunit ribosomal RNA", at positions 524 to 776 of the family's 1533-position model. The record is from RNAcentral.
UACGGAGGGUGCAAGCGUUAUCCGGAUUUACUGGGUUUAAAGGGUGCGUAGGUGGGUAGGUAAGUCAGUGGUGAAAUCUUCGAGCUUAACUCGGAAACUGCCAUUGAUACUAUUUAUCUUGAAUACUCUGGAGGUAAGCGGAAUAUGUCAUGUAGCGGUGGAAUGCUUAGAUAUGACAUAGAACACCAAUUGCGAAGGCGGCUUACUACAUAGUUAUUGACACUGAGGCACGAAAGCGUGGGGAUCAAACAGG